GAGGAUUUCGGCUUGCUUCACACUGUCGCGGCCUGCACCUUUCAAG
Molecule: small RNA, 46 nt
Filed under: Sinorhizobium meliloti 2011
Lineage: Bacteria; Pseudomonadati; Pseudomonadota; Alphaproteobacteria; Hyphomicrobiales; Rhizobiaceae
Description: putative ncRNA
Source: RNAcentral